CACUGACGUUGAGGCUCGAAGGUGCGGGUAUCAAACAGGAUUAGAUACCCUGGUAGUCCGCACGGUAAACGAUGGACACCCGCUGUCGGCGAUAUACAGUCGGCGGCCAAGCGAAAGCGUUAAGUGUCCCACCUGGGGAGUACGCCGGCAACGGUGAAACUCAAAGGAAUUGACGGGGGCCCGCACAAGCGGAGGAACAUGUGGUUUAAUUCGAUGAUACGCGAGGAACCUUACCCGGGCUUGAACUGCGCCUGAAUGUGCCGGAAACGGUACAGCCGCAAGGCAGGCGCGGAGGUGCUGCAUGGUUGUCGUCAGCUCGUGCCGUGAGGUGUCGGCUUAAGUGCCAUAACGAGCGCAACCCCUUCCGGCAGUUGCCAUCAGGUGAUGCUGGGUACUCUGCCGGUACUGCCAUCGUAAGAUGCGAGGAAGGUGGGGAUGACGUCAAAUCAGCACGGCCCUUACGUCCGGGGCUACACACGUGUUACAAUGGGGGGUACAGAGGGC
Molecule: ribosomal RNA, 504 nt
Filed under: Bacteroides sp. An269
Lineage: Bacteria; Pseudomonadati; Bacteroidota; Bacteroidia; Bacteroidales; Bacteroidaceae
Description: bacterial SSU rRNA
Rfam family: Bacterial small subunit ribosomal RNA
Source: RNAcentral